RNAcentral lists this ribosomal RNA (309 nucleotides) under Triticum aestivum (bread wheat). RNAcentral's name for it is "partial small subunit ribosomal RNA". Lineage: Eukaryota; Viridiplantae; Streptophyta; Magnoliopsida; Poales; Poaceae. The record is from RNAcentral.
AUGACCGUGAACGGCUUCCAGCAAGGAGAGGGGGGUGGCGGGCCGGCAUCGUGCGACGGCCAGUACCACAGCGACGAGGAGUACGUGGUGUCGCUGUCUUCGGAGUGGUACGCCGGCGGGGCUCGGUGCGGCAAGACCAUCCGCAUCGCCAACUCUGGCAAUCUUAACAUAAACGCCAUGGUCGUCGACGAGUGCGCCGGCUGCGAUAACGAGGUGGGCGCGUCCAUCCAUAUCUGGCGUAACUUCCGUCUUGACCCCAGUCUUGGCCAGGCGGACAUCAAGUGGUCCGACCUUGACACGUCCCCCUGA